GAGACCACUGAGAGCAGAAGAGGAGACUAAUGCUGGAAGAUCAUCGACUGGAUCACAGAAAACCAACACAAAGCUACCACGAGUUAGCAGCUAGCUUCAAAUGGCGGGCCCUUCCUACAGUCAUCACGACGCAGUGACUAUCAAAAGACUUUAAGCAAUCAUGCUGGCUGCCUUAAGAGUUGUUAAAUCACUGAAUCCUCCAUCUGACCAGUCGGUUGAGCGCGUGCCUGCAGUUGAUUCACAUCAGCCUGAUCCUUAUCCAGAGGAGAAGCAGAAUGACAUCAUUCACAGUAUUAAACAGCUGAAUGACAAAGUUGAUGCACUGCAUCCUUUGACCGUCCCUGAAAGUGUCGGUUCCCAGACAUACCAGGAGAGAGAACAAUGUGGACCCUGCUGAGACGAUUAUCCGAAGAAUGGCCAGCUAAACCAGAAGUAUGGGCUUGAACCAAUUACAAGCAGUGCCUGGAAGUAAUGGGCCUACCAG
This is a long non-coding RNA of Thalassophryne amazonica, 484 nucleotides long. RefSeq lists it as uncharacterized. The transcript has 3 exons. Lineage: Eukaryota; Metazoa; Chordata; Actinopteri; Batrachoidiformes; Batrachoididae. The record is from RefSeq and is a predicted model, not a curated record.